Molecule: transfer RNA, 85 nt
Filed under: Felis catus (domestic cat)
Lineage: Eukaryota; Metazoa; Chordata; Mammalia; Carnivora; Felidae
Rfam family: tRNA
About the family: Transfer RNA (tRNA) molecules are approximately 80 nucleotides in length.
Source: Rfam by way of RNAcentral
GCCUGGGUGGCUCAGUCGGUUGAGCGUCCGACUUCGGCUCAGGUCAUGAUCUCGCGGUCCGUGAGUUCAAGUCCCAUGUCAGGCU